GACGAACGCUGGCGGCGUGCUUAACACAUGCAAGUCGAACGGAAAGGCCCUGCUUUUGUGGGGUGCUCGAGUGGCGAACGGGUGAGUAACACGUGAGUAACCUGCCCUUGACUUUGGGAUAACUUCAGGAAACUGGGGCUAAUACCGGAUAGGAGCUCCUGCUGCAUGGUGGGGGUUGGAAAGUUUCGGCGGUUGGGGAUGGACUCGCGGCUUAUCAGCUUGUUGGUGGGGUAGUGGCUUACCAAGGCUUUGACGGGUAGCCGGCCUGAGAGGGUGACCGGCCACAUUGGGACUGAGAUACGGCCCAGACUCCUACGGGAGGCAGCAGUGGGGAAUAUUGCACAAUGGGCGGAAGCCUUAUGCAGCAACGCCGCGUGCGGGAUGACGGCCUUCGGGCUGUAAACCGCUUUCGCCUGUGACGAAGCGUGAGUGACGGUAAUGGGUAAAGAAGCACCGGCUAACUACGUG
This 468-nucleotide ribosomal RNA is filed under the name uncultured bacterium. RNAcentral describes it as "partial 16S ribosomal RNA". It matches the Rfam family "Bacterial small subunit ribosomal RNA", at positions 28 to 507 of the family's 1533-position model. The record is from RNAcentral.